This 97-nucleotide signal recognition particle RNA is filed under the name Planctomycetota bacterium. RNAcentral describes it as "Planctomycetes bacterium signal recognition particle sRNA small type". It matches the Rfam family "Bacterial small signal recognition particle RNA". From Rfam's summary of the family: The signal recognition particle (SRP) is a universally conserved ribonucleoprotein involved in the co-translational targeting of proteins to membranes. Archaeal SRP consists of a 7S RNA and homologues of the eukaryotic SRP19 and SRP54 proteins. The record is from RNAcentral. Lineage: Bacteria; Pseudomonadati; Planctomycetota.
GGCCGGGCCCGGCGGGCGGGUCGGCCGCGAAUCUGGUCAGGGCUUGAUCGCAGCAGCCAUAAGCGUUUCGAUCCGAGCCGACGGUCGCCUGGCCGUC